This 466-nucleotide ribosomal RNA is filed under the name uncultured bacterium. RNAcentral describes it as "partial 16S ribosomal RNA". It matches the Rfam family "Bacterial small subunit ribosomal RNA", at positions 339 to 795 of the family's 1533-position model. The record is from RNAcentral.
CUACGGGAGGGCUGCAGUGGGGAAUAUUGGACAAUGGGGGAAACCCUGAUCCAGCAAUGCCGCGUGUGUGAAGAAGGCCUGCGGGUUGUAAAGCACUUUCGGUUGGGAGGACUGCUUCUAGCACUAAUAUUGUUGGAAGUUGACGUUACCUUCAGAAGAAGCACCGGCUAACUCCGUGCCAGCAGCCGCGGUAAUACGGAGGGUGCAAGCGUUAAUCGGAAUUACUGGGCGUAAAGCGCGCGUAGGCGGCUAGAUCAGUCGGGUGUGAAAGCCCCGGGCUUAACCUGGGAACUGCAUCCGAUACUGUCUAGCUUAAGUACAGGAGAGGGGAGUGGAAUUCCACAUGUAGCGGUGAAAUGCGUAGAUAUGUGGAGGAACACCAAUGGCGAAGGCAGCUCUCUGGCCUGAUACUGACGCUGAAGUGCGAAAGCGUGGGGAGCAAACAGGAUUAGAUACCCGGGUAGUC